Molecule: ribosomal RNA, 446 nt
Filed under: uncultured bacterium
Lineage: Bacteria
Description: partial 16S ribosomal RNA
Rfam family: Bacterial small subunit ribosomal RNA
Source: RNAcentral
CCUACGGGGGGCAGCAGUAGGGAAUUUUCGGCAAUGGGGGGAACCCUGACCGAGCAACGCCGCGUGAACGAAGAAGUUAUUCGUAAUGUAAAGUUCUUUUAACAGGGAAGAAAGAGAAAUUUGACGGUACCUGAAGAAUAAGCCCCGGCUAAGUACGUGCCAGCAGCCGCGGUAAUACGUAGGGAGCGAGCGUUAUCCGGAAUUAUUGGGCGAAAAGGGUGCGUAGAUGGCAUAGUAAGUCUUUUGUAAAAAUGGUGGGCUCAACCCAGUAGGGCAAAAGAUACUGCACAGCUAGAGUAUGACAGAGGCAGGUGGAACUAGAUGUGUAGCGGUAAAAUGCGGAAAUAUAUGUAAGAACACCAGUGGCGAAGGCGGCUUGCUGGGUCGAUACUGACAUUGAGGCACGAAAGCGUGGGGAGCAAACAGGAUUAGAUACCCGAGUAGUC